UACGGAGGGAGCGAGCGUUAAUCGGAAUCACUGGGCGUAAAGCGCACGUAGGCGGCCAGAUAAGUCAGAUGUGAAAGCCCCGGGCUUAACCUGGGAAUGGCAUUUGAUACUGUCUGGCUAGAGUAUGGUAGAGGGGGGUGGAAUUCCAGGUGUAGCGGUGAAAUGCGUAGAGAUCUGGAGGAACACCGGUGGCGAAGGCGGCCCCCUGGACCAAUACUGACGCUGAGGUGCGAAAGCGUGGGGAGCAAACAGG
This 253-nucleotide ribosomal RNA is filed under the name uncultured bacterium. RNAcentral's name for it is "partial 16S ribosomal RNA". It matches the Rfam family "Bacterial small subunit ribosomal RNA", at positions 524 to 776 of the family's 1533-position model. The record is from RNAcentral.